RNAcentral lists this ribosomal RNA (747 nucleotides) under uncultured Moryella sp. RNAcentral describes it as "bacterial SSU rRNA". It matches the Rfam family "Bacterial small subunit ribosomal RNA", at positions 28 to 776 of the family's 1533-position model. The record is from RNAcentral. Lineage: Bacteria; Bacillati; Bacillota; Clostridia; Lachnospirales; Lachnospiraceae.
GAUGAACGCUGGCGGCGUGCUUAACACAUGCAAGUCGAACGAGAAGUGGAGACGGAAACCUUCGGGUGGAAGACUUUAUUUCGAGUGGCGGACGGGUGAGUAACGCGUGGGUAACCUGCCUCAUACAGGGGGAUAACAGUUGGAAACGACUGUUAAUACCGCAUAAGACCACAGCACCGCAUGGUGCGGGGGUAAAAACUCCGGUGGUAUGAGAUGGACCCGCGUUCGAUUAGCCAGUUGGCGGGGUAACGGCCCACCAAAGCGACGAUCGAUAGCCGAUCUGAGAGGAUGACCGGCCACAUUGGGACUGAGACACGGCCCAAACUCCUACGGGAGGCAGCAGUGGGGAAUAUUGCACAAUGGGGGAAACCCUGAUGCAGCGACGCCGCGUGAGUGAAGAAGUAUUUCGGUAUGUAAAGCUCUAUCAGCAGGGAAGAAAAUGACGGUACCUGAGUAAGAAGCCCCGGCUAACUACGUGCCAGCAGCCGCGGUAAUACGUAGGGGGCAAGCGUUAUCCGGAUUUACUGGGUGUAAAGGGAGCGCAGACGGCUCUGCAAGUCUGAAGUGAAAGCCCGCGGCUUAACCGCGGGACUGCUUUGGAAACUGCAAGGCUUGAGUAUCGGAGGGGCAGGCGGAAUUCCUAGUGUAGCGGUGAAAUGCGUAGAUAUUAGGAAGAACACCGGUGGCGAAGGCGGCCUGCUGGACGAAAACUGACGUUGAGGCUCGAAGGCGUGGGGAGCAAACAGG